UGGGGAAUAUUGGACAAUGGGCGAAAGCCUGAUCCAGCCAUGCCGCGUGUGUGAAGAAGGUCUUCGGAUUGUAAAGCACUUUAAGUUGGGAGGAAGGGCAGUAAGCGAAUACCUUGCUGUUUUGACGUUACCGACAGAAUAAGCACCGGCUAACUCUGUGCCAGCAGCCGCGGUAAUACAGAGGGUGCAAGCGUUAAUCGGAAUUACUGGGCGUAAAGCGCGCGUAGGUGGUUCGUUAAGUUGAAUGUGAAAGCCCCGGGCUCAACCUGGGAACUGCAUCCCAAACUGGCGAGCUAGAGUAGGGCAGAGGGUGGUGGAAUUUCCUGUGUAGCGGUGAAAUGCGUAGAUAUAGGAGGGAACACCAGUGGCGAAGGCGACCACCUGGGCUCAUACUGACACUGAGGUGCGAAAGCGUGGGGAGCAAACAGG
Molecule: ribosomal RNA, 429 nt
Filed under: Pseudomonadota bacterium
Lineage: Bacteria; Pseudomonadati; Pseudomonadota
Description: Proteobacteria bacterium partial 16S ribosomal RNA
Rfam family: Bacterial small subunit ribosomal RNA
Source: RNAcentral